GCAUUCAUUUAUUGGUAUCGCAUGAACCCCAUCGUAAUUAAUCGGCUUCAACGGAAGCUGGGCUACACUUUUCAUC
This is a regulatory RNA element of Oryza sativa Indica Group (long-grained rice), 76 nucleotides long. It matches the Rfam family "rncO", at positions 139 to 214 of the family's 214-position model. From Rfam's summary of the family: This family represents a bacterial regulatory element (rncO) found in the rnc leader sequence. Lineage: Eukaryota; Viridiplantae; Streptophyta; Magnoliopsida; Poales; Poaceae. The record is from Rfam.